GAUAUCUGUUAUUAUUGGUGCUAUAGCUCUGUACUAUACCAGUGCCAAUCCCGCUUUACCUUAUACUGCUGCCGUACCUGUCUGGAUGGGUAUACCGGUAAUUGUCUGUGGUAUAGUAGGAUUUUUAGCUGGUAAAUAUGGCGUUACAGAGACAGAAGUUUCUGUUAAAACUAAACGUUUGGUGAUAAGUUAUUUCGUCAUUUGUUUAAUUAUGAUCUCGGUUUGUAUCCUGGGCGCUCUAGUGGAAAUUUUCGGCAUUGUCUUUUGUACUCGGGCAGAAACCUCGGAACUCGUCAAACCCUGUUUACCUAAUAGGACCGGGAAUUUAACCAUGGCAGUGUUGGGAAUGAUCAUUAUGUUCGUUAUGUUUUCAUUUUCUAUCCUGGGUUCGUGUAUCUGUUGUUUUGGUCGGUCUUUGGGUUUUAAGGACAGAUAUGAUUAUGCUAUGGAACUGGGGUAUGAAAUGGCCCAACUACAACAGUGGCAACAGCAACAGCAAGUACAAGAUGGCGGCUACACAAACUGGGGUAAAAGCUAAACAGGAUGGUAUAUAAUUCGUUAACAAUUGAAAGGCGAGUCAUUUAAAUGAAGGGUUUUAAAGGGACAAUAACACUCUUGCUGGCUUGACAGCUCCAGAAAAUAAAAAAUAGCCUUAUUCUAAGUAAAUUGUGUAAAUUAUCCAUUAAAUCCUAUUUUACUUGUCCAGAGAGUUCAAAAAUAUUUUUAAAUCCAAGUCACAUUUGAAAAGCUUUACGUCAGGCUUUUCAAAUCAUUUAGUUGAAUUUUUCUAAUUUUUUAAAUUAGGUGUGUUAAGAUCAAAUUUGUAUCAUCAAUUAAUUGGAAUAUUGUAAAAUAGUACAAUUUGUUGACCAGAAUAAAGAUUUGAACAUAUUAUUCAGUUACAACAAGAGUGGUAUUGAACCUUAAAAAUGAAAUGGGUUAGGGUAACAUGGUAUUGGGAUACUCUGCAUAAUAAAACAAGCACAGGAAAUGCCUAGUAGCUUUACUGAGAUCCGGGCCGGCUUUGGCACAUUUGAACAAUUUCCCCAAAUUGGACCCCACGCCAGAAGGGGUCUCCGCCGCUUACCAACAAUAAAACUCUAAUUAAAGAUACAUUAUGGGAGAUAAGAUAACAAGAUGUCAGUUCUCGCUAUAAUAGUUAAAAACUAGAUAAUGUAAAGGUAAUUUGCUGAAAAUUUCAGUCAAAUUGAUCCACUAUGAGCCGAGAAGGAAGCGUGUGAAAUUUUGGCAUAGUCUCGGUCAUCAUUACUAAAAUCAUUAUUAUAAACAACUUAGUCUCGAUUAUCCACUUUUUAUGAUUUAAUUAUCAACGGCCGUUAGCGGCAUAUAGGAAUCUAAUCCAGCCAACAUCGAAGGCUAGCCUUGGCAUCGAGAGUUUAUUAUGGUCUGGAUAAGUUAAUUAAUGUCUAAUUGAUAAUUUAGAUAACAUUCCAGGCCUAAAGAAAUACUUGUAAUAAGCAGAUUUUGCUCUUGCAUAAUGCAUGUUUAACUGUAUACAUGUAUUAAUCAAUUACUAAUUGUAAACUAAAGCAUAGUAGGCCUUAAAUAUGAAUAUAGGCCUAGUUAAAAGGCCAUUAUAGGAGAUUAGAUAAAGAGUUGACAGUUCUCGCUAUAAUGUGUAAAAAAUAGAUAAUGUAAAUAGAAUAUGCUGAAAGUUUCAAUCCAAUUGUUACACUCUGACUCGAGAUAUUAGCUCUUGAAUUUUAGGCUAGUCAUAAAUAACGUCAAUAGAAUAUGCUGAAAAUUUCAGUCAAAUUGUUCCACUCUGAAUCGAGAUAUUAGCUUUUGGAUUUUAGGCUAGCCUCGAUCAUCAUUACUAAAGUCGGUACGAUAAAGAACAAAGUCUAGAUUAUCUAUUUUUACGUUUAAUUAUUUUUCAAAAAAUGUAUUCCAAUCCGCUAAAUAUAGCAGACUAGAGAUGGCAUCGAGAGUAGCUUAUGGUCUGGAUAUGUUAAUUAAAAUCUAAUUAAUAAUUUAGAUAACAUUUCAGGCCCAUAGAAAGACCCGUAAUAAGCAGAUUUAGCUCUUACGUAAUGUAUGUUUAAAGUAGCUAAGUCUAUAACUCUUACGUAAUGUAUGUUUAAAGUAGCUAAGUCUCUAACGCUUACGUAAUGAAUGUUUAAAGUAGCUAAGUCUCUAACUCUUACGUAAUGUAUGUUUAAAGUAGCUAAGUCUCUAACACUUACGUAAUGUAUGUUUAAAGUAGCUAAGUCUCUAACUCUUACGUAAUGUAUGUUUAAAGUAGCUAAGUCUCUAACACUUACGUAAUGUAUGUUUAAAGUAGCUAAGUCUCUAACUCUUACGUAAUGUAUGUUUAAAGUAGCUAAGUCUCUAAAUCUUACGUAAUGUAUGUUUAAAGUAGCUAAGUCUCUAAAUCUUAUAGAUAAAUUACAAAAAGUACAGAAUACUGCUGCUAGACUUGUUACUUUAACUAUGGAAUGUGAUCACAUAACUCCUGUUUUAUAUAAUUUACACUGGUUACCUGUUAAAUAUCGAAUUGAUUUUAAGAUUUUAUUACUUACAGUACUUUUAAAUGUUUAAAUAAUUAAGCUCCUGUUUACCUCUCAGAUCUUUUAGAACUUUAUACACCUGGCCGAACAUUACGUACAUCAGAUAAAUUACUUUUAAAGCCCAAAACUGUUCAACUAGUCUCGUCUGGUCAGCGCUCUUUUAGUUAACAAGCCCCUGUUUUAUGGAAUAAUCUACCAUUUAGUUUAAGAUGUUGUACAUCUCUAUAUUUUUAUAAAAAACACCUUAAAACACAUUUAUUUAAUCAGGCUUUUAACUGACUCUGUAUGCAAUCGUUAACAUGUCCAUAAUCUUGUUGUUUAUGUAUGAUUUACAUUGUCACUUUGUAAAGUGCCCCUGAACAUGUUAUAUGAAAGGGCUCACUAUAAAUAUGCUGUAAUAAUAAUAAUAAUAAUAAUAUCAUCCAAAUUUGAAUCAACAUUGAUGUUGUGAUCUUACCGGGAAAAGGUGGGCUUCUGAUAUCCAGUAUUUAAGACAAAAUAAAAAUUUUACCAUUGGUACACGAAUCAUAUACCAUAAUGUGUAUCAGCGCCAUUUGUAACAAGCGACUCGAAGAACGAAGCUAGACGUAUUCUACAGGUCAUUUCAAACGGUAAAGCCAUAUUCGUAUCUGGAGAGCAUGCGCAAUAAAUAAUAUCUUUGUAGACUGGAAUAACCAGAUGCUAGAGAUUGCAAUUCGAUUGAGACUUCUGGCGUAUUUCGCAAACAUAACUGAUUUGAAAUUAGAGUAAAAACGGAAACGAUUGAAUGUAAAUCAGUUUAUAUAUAUAUACAUUCAUAUUACAUUAUUAUAUGCGUUGCGACAAUUUGUCUCAAUUUCUAAGUUCCAAAUAUUAGCGAUUUAGCUCUUUUGAAUUUAUUAAUAUCCUGCAAUGUAUUCAUAUCCGGAAAAUUCGGGUUUCUCAAAUUAGCCCUGACUGAAAUAUAGUUACGAGGUAAUGGUAAAUCAUCAACAAAAUUAAUAACCUCUUCCUUUCGUUUGCUUGAUAAAUUCUAGAGAAUCUCAAAACCGAACUUUUUAAUCAAAUAUACAACUGAUUGAAUACGGUUCUAGCUGUGUUUGUGUCAGACUUUUACCAUGUGUACUAAAUAAUGUUCUCCAUUUUUUGUUUAUGUCUUUUUUAUGGAGAGCAGCUCACUGAGUUGAAUUGUUGGCGCUAUAUAAAUCAAUUAUUAUUAUUAUUAUUGUUUUCAUGUACAUAAUGUUCCAGAAAUUUAUAUAAUUGUAUCAUUUGCUUGACGGAAACUAGGUACGUCGCUGGACAAUAAACAGUUAUGUCCGGUGUAAAUUUAUAGAUAAUGUUGUUAUGAACUGGGGUUUAACGUCCUACUUCGACUGGGCUAAUGAAGACGGCCAAGGGCCUCUUUCCUGCAUCACUGACACCACUGACAAGUGGGAACCACAUCGGAAAAUUCCGAUGAACUUUCUCGGGAAAGUGAAAGUAUUGAACAACAGGUGAGCGAGCCAACGUCCUACCCGCUGAGUCACCGUGACUCCCAGAGAAUGUGGUAUGCCCAGACAUGAGAUGCUCAUAGAACAGCAUAACUUUGUUGGUUUUUUUUGGUUUUUUUCGUAGGAAGCCGUAGUGGCACAGUAACUAAGGCUCUGUCACGUUAUCCAUGAGGUUUCGAAUUAGCUGCCGGUGUUGACCCAGGAAAAUCCUCUAGAUUUUCAUACGGGGUUUCCCAUUGUCGGUGCUGCAGGGCGGUGGGCCUCGUAAGGACGGAAUAAGAGUAGGUCGUAACGGCUGUGUCCGGGCAAAACUUCUCUCAAUCAGAGCACCCGUCUUCAUUAUCCUUGUUAGUGCAGAUAGAUAUAGGAUGUUAAACCCCAUUUCAUUUCAUUUCAUGUCAUUUGUUUUUCUUGUAAAUAAAUGUAUUUCCAUCUUACAUAUCAGAACAUAUAACUUAUCUCAAUAAUAAGGAAUAAUAAAAUUUACUUUUUUAAAA
Molecule: long non-coding RNA, 4500 nt
Organism: Patella vulgata (common limpet)
Lineage: Eukaryota; Metazoa; Mollusca; Gastropoda; Patellidae
Exons: 3
Source: RefSeq, a predicted model, not a curated record